This is a long non-coding RNA of Neofelis nebulosa (Clouded leopard), 1045 nucleotides long. RefSeq lists it as uncharacterized. The transcript is spliced from 3 exons. The record is from RefSeq and is a predicted model, not a curated record. Lineage: Eukaryota; Metazoa; Chordata; Mammalia; Carnivora; Felidae.
UUGGUGAUUUAUACAAAUUGUCAAAAUGUCAGAAAGGACCCAAAUCAAGGACUUGUUCAGUCAUUCUGCGGUGGAAGUGUUAUAUAAACAUAAUUUAUGUCGUUAGUAAGAGAAAAAAGUAGGACAGUGGUUAAAGCUGACUCCCUGUCACACAUGCCAAAGGCAGAAGAGGUCCUACCACAAAGCAGACUAAGCCUAAUAUCUCCAAAUGUCUCCACAGCAUCUCCAAAAUGUCAGGAGUCAAUUGGCCAACGCAAAAUGUUUAAAUCAGGUUACUCCAAACCAACAGCAAACCAAAAGAAUGCAGAAGGCUUCACUUGCAGUUAAAGGCCUUGGUAAUUCUGGAGUUGUCCCUAUCUGUAAAUCUAUAUUGAGCACCUGCCGUGUCAUAACCCUGUGACAGGUGCUGAGAGGUGAUGGGUGGCUGUAAAAGAAAAGCAGUGCUGGAUAAGGCUUUGUGCAUCUUGUCGAGGCCUUGGACCUAAACGAUGAAGGCUGAAACAGGCUUCUAACCUAGUUAAGGGGCUGAAAAUCAAGGUAAAUGUUUGCAUAGUACACUGCAACAUGGUUUCGUAUGCAUGUUCUCAUAUAAUCUUCACUACAGCCCUAUGAGACUGCUAGGAGAAAAAGACAGAAAUGUAAGAUGUAGGAGUUUAUGAAAUGUUUUUCCCACUUUGAGUUCAUACUGUGUGCCAGGUAUUAUGCUAAAUACUUCAAAGCAUUACUUCAUUUCACACAGGCCUUUAUUAUCUAUCCUGUUUCAUAGGUGAAGAAACUGAGGCUGGAGAAAUUAAGUUCCUUGAUUAGGACAUCUCUACUUAAUCUUACUGGAAUCCAGUGCACACUUGAAACAGUAGAAAAACAAUGUAAGACAAGAAUUUGACAAGUUUAUGCCUCUUAUGCAUUUUAAAGAACUGGCACCUUGAAUGGGGUUCUGAAUGGACUUUGUGCAGAUGGGAUAUGCUAGGAUUAUUACCUGCUGAUGUUUCCAUAUCUUGACUAUGGUGGCAGUUCCAUACCACCUAGAACUAUAUGCCUAAAUAGG